AUUGAACGCUGGCGGCAUGCUUUACACAUGCAAGUCGAACGGCAGCGGGGGCUUCGGCCUGCCGGCGAGUGGCGAACGGGUGAGUAAUGCAUCGGAACGUGCCCAGUCAUGGGGGAUAACUACGCGAAAGCGUAGCUAAUACCGCAUACGCCCUGAGGGGGAAAGUGGGGGAUCUUCGGACCUCACGCGAUUGGAGCGGCCGAUGUCAGAUUAGCUAGUUGGUGAGGUAAAGGCUCACCAAGGCGACGAUCUGUAGCGGGUCUGAGAGGAUGAUCCGCCACACUGGGACUGAGACACGGCCCAGACUCCUACGGGAGGCAGCAGUGGGGAAUUUUGGACAAUGGGCGCAAGCCUGAUCCAGCCAUGCCGCGUGAGUGAAGAAGGCCU
RNAcentral lists this ribosomal RNA (387 nucleotides) under uncultured bacterium. Its description in RNAcentral is "bacterial SSU rRNA". It matches the Rfam family "Bacterial small subunit ribosomal RNA", at positions 29 to 417 of the family's 1533-position model. The record is from RNAcentral.